Long non-coding RNA from Pocillopora damicornis (cauliflower coral), 869 nucleotides. NCBI's taxonomy places the organism in Eukaryota, Metazoa, Cnidaria, Anthozoa, Scleractinia, Pocilloporidae. The record is from RefSeq and is a predicted model, not a curated record.
GGAGAGAAUGAAGAACAUUCACGUAACUACCGUAUUAGUCCUUCUAGAAAGAAGGGUUCGACUUCCGGUAGAUUCGAAUCGAUUAACAGGUGACGGAAUCCCUUUUUUAGAAGCCAGAUCAAACCAUGGGGGCUAAUAAAUAUCAAGCGUUCGCGUGAAUAAAAUUCAUAUACUACAAAUAGUCUGGGUGGUAAGACAGUCAAGAACUUCAUCCGGAGUCACCGAAUAUCAAAAGAACAGCGCCCGCAGAAAAAAAAAAUGGAAAGCUUCUUGGACCCAAGAGUAGAACAACUUCUGUCCAAGAAAACAGACACACAGAGAUUACAAGCGAUUGCGUUCUCCAUAGCAUGUUUGUGUACCGGACCAACACCAUUUCAACCUCCUGAUUACUUCCAUAUUCCGAAAAACAGAGCGGAUACACAAGAGGAGAGUGAUGAAGGGGAAAGUGAAGAAAUUAAAGAGAGCAAAAGUCUGUGAAAGUGCGACCCUUACAUCCGGUUCAGAUGUUGAGCUUCGAUAUACAACAGACCGCGUAACUAGGGACUUAUGCGUGACGAUGAUUAUUGCGUGACCGUUCUCACUGUCUCUCCGUGACGGCCUGUUCAACAGAGCUUACGCCUUUCCUUACUCCUUGCUGGGAAAUCCUGCGCUGCAAAAAACUGCAUAACGGGUAAAGCAGCAAAGAAAAAUUUGUGUAUUUAUUCAAAUAUGUAAAAGGAUAUGAAUUUUAAUGAUGUAUAAAUGUAAAAAAAGCCAUGAAAUCCGGAAAAAAGUUUUUUUGUUGAAAAUAAAAUCCUUGUCAAACUAGACAGGACACCGCUACUUUGAAUAUACUGAAAAUAAAAUAAAAUGAAAUAUCUGGAAAUGCA